Molecule: ribosomal RNA, 1420 nt
Filed under: Klebsiella quasipneumoniae subsp. quasipneumoniae
Lineage: Bacteria; Pseudomonadati; Pseudomonadota; Gammaproteobacteria; Enterobacterales; Enterobacteriaceae
Description: bacterial SSU rRNA
Rfam family: Bacterial small subunit ribosomal RNA
Source: RNAcentral
UGGCGGCAGCUACACAUGCAGUCGAGCGGUAGCACAGAGAGCUUGCUCUCGGGUGACGAGCGGCGGACGGGUGAGUAAUGUCUGGGAAACUGCCUGAUGGAGGGGGAUAACUACUGGAAACGGUAGCUAAUACCGCAUAAUGUCGCAAGACCAAAGUGGGGGACCUUCGGGCCUCAUGCCAUCAGAUGUGCCCAGAUGGGAUUAGCUAGUAGGUGGGGUAACGGCUCACCUAGGCGACGAUCCCUAGCUGGUCUGAGAGGAUGACCAGCCACACUGGAACUGAGACACGGUCCAGACUCCUACGGGAGGCAGCAGUGGGGAAUAUUGCACAAUGGGCGCAAGCCUGAUGCAGCCAUGCCGCGUGUGUGAAGAAGGCCUUCGGGUUGUAAAGCACUUUCAGCGGGGAGGAAGGCGAUAAGGUUAAUAACCUUGUCGAUUGACGUUACCCGCAGAAGAAGCACCGGCUAACUCCGUGCCAGCAGCCGCGGUAAUACGGAGGGUGCAAGCGUUAAUCGGAAUUACUGGGCGUAAAGCGCACGCAGGCGGUCUGUCAAGUCGGAUGUGAAAUCCCCGGGCUCAACCUGGGAACUGCAUUCGAAACUGGCAGGCUAGAGUCUUGUAGAGGGGGGUAGAAUUCCAGGUGUAGCGGUGAAAUGCGUAGAGAUCUGGAGGAAUACCGGUGGCGAAGGCGGCCCCCUGGACAAAGACUGACGCUCAGGUGCGAAAGCGUGGGGAGCAAACAGGAUUAGAUACCCUGGUAGUCCACGCCGUAAACGAUGUCGAUUUGGAGGUUGUGCCCUUGAGGCGUGGCUUCCGGAGCUAACGCGUUAAAUCGACCGCCUGGGGAGUACGGCCGCAAGGUUAAAACUCAAAUGAAUUGACGGGGGCCCGCACAAGCGGUGGAGCAUGUGGUUUAAUUCGAUGCAACGCGAAGAACCUUACCUGGUCUUGACAUCCACAGAACUUAGCAGAGAUGGUUUGGUGCCUUCGGGAACUGUGAGACAGGUGCUGCAUGGCUGUCGUCAGCUCGUGUUGUGAAAUGUUGGGUUAAGUCCCGCAACGAGCGCAACCCUUAUCCUUUGUUGCCAGCGGUCCGGCCGGGAACUCAAAGGAGACUGCCAGUGAUAAACUGGAGGAAGGUGGGGAUGACGUCAAGUCAUCAUGGCCCUUACGACCAGGGCUACACACGUGCUACAAUGGCAUAUACAAAGAGAAGCGACCUCGCGAGAGCAAGCGGACCUCAUAAAGUAUGUCGUAGUCCGGAUUGGAGUCUGCAACUCGACUCCAUGAAGUCGGAAUCGCUAGUAAUCGUAGAUCAGAAUGCUACGGUGAAUACGUUCCCGGGCCUUGUACACACCGCCCGUCACACCAUGGGAGUGGGUUGCAAAAGAAGUAGGUAGCUUAACCUUCGGAGGCGCUA